GAGACACUGCCCAGACUCCUACGGGAGGCUGCAGUCGAGAAUCUUUCGCAAUGGACGAAAGUCUGACGAAGCGACGCCGCGUGUGUGAUGAAGGCUCUAGGGUUGUAAAGCACUUUCGCCUGGGAAUAAGAGAGAUUGGCUAAUAUCCAAUUGAUUUGAGCGUACCAGG
RNAcentral lists this ribosomal RNA (169 nucleotides) under Chlamydia pecorum. RNAcentral's name for it is "partial 16S ribosomal RNA". It matches the Rfam family "Bacterial small subunit ribosomal RNA", at positions 321 to 482 of the family's 1533-position model. Lineage: Bacteria; Pseudomonadati; Chlamydiota; Chlamydiia; Chlamydiales; Chlamydiaceae. The record is from RNAcentral.